This 287-nucleotide ribosomal RNA is filed under the name Penaeus merguiensis. RNAcentral's name for it is "partial small subunit ribosomal RNA". The record is from RNAcentral. Lineage: Eukaryota; Metazoa; Arthropoda; Malacostraca; Decapoda; Penaeidae.
GAAUUGUUAUUACCUGGGUACUAAACAGUUAUUAUCUUGAAACUCAAAGGAUUUGGCGGUAACUUAGUCUAUUUAGAGGAACCUGUCCUGUAAUCGAUAGUCCACGAAGAAUCUUACUCUAUUUUGUAGAAAUACAGUUUGUAUACCGUCAUUAUUAGGUAACUUUUAUAAAAGAUAAAGUUACUAGAAUAGUUUUGCUAAUAUAUUAGAUCGAGGUGCAGCUUAUAAUACAGGAAGAGAUGGGUUACAAUAUACUAAAAUAAACGGAACAAUAAAUGAAUAUUUAU